This 187-nucleotide ribosomal RNA is filed under the name Shigella dysenteriae. Its description in RNAcentral is "partial 16S ribosomal RNA". It matches the Rfam family "Bacterial small subunit ribosomal RNA", at positions 1359 to 1533 of the family's 1533-position model. The record is from RNAcentral. Lineage: Bacteria; Pseudomonadati; Pseudomonadota; Gammaproteobacteria; Enterobacterales; Enterobacteriaceae.
ACGGUGAAUACGUUCCCGGGCCUUGUACACACCGCCCGUCACACCAUGGGAGUGGGUUGCAAAAGAAGUAGGUAGCUUAACCUUCGGGAGGGCGCUUACCACUUUGUGAUUCAUGACUGGGGUGAAGUCGUAACAAGGUAACCGUAGGGGAACCUGCGGUUGGAUCACCUCCUUACUUUAAAGAAGC